AACGAACGCUGGCGGCAUGCCUAACACAUGCAAGUCGAACGAGACCUUCGGGUCUAGUGGCGCACGGGUGCGUAACGCGUGGGAACCUGCCCUUAGGUUCGGAAUAACUCCCCGGAAGGGGUGCUAAUACCGGAUAAUGUCUUCGGACCAAAGAUUUAUCGCCUUUGGAUGGACCCGCGUUGGAUUAGCUAGUUGGUAGGGUAAAAGCCUACCAAGGCGACGAUCCAUAGCUGGUCUGAGAGGAUGAUCAGCCACACUGGGACUGAGACACGGCCCAGACUCCUACGGGAGGCAGCAGUGGGGAAUAUUGGACAAUGGGCGAAAGCCUGAUCCAGCAAUGCCGCGUGAGUGAUGAAGGCCUUAGGGUUGUAAAGCUCUUUUACCCGGGAUGAUAAUGACAGUACCGGGAGAAUAAGCUCCGGCUAACUCCGUG
This 433-nucleotide ribosomal RNA is filed under the name uncultured bacterium. RNAcentral describes it as "partial 16S ribosomal RNA". It matches the Rfam family "Bacterial small subunit ribosomal RNA", at positions 29 to 507 of the family's 1533-position model. The record is from RNAcentral.